CAUAACCAAAAAUGAUUAAAGGGUUUAACGUAGGAGCUGAGAUAAUUCUAACAUCUCCACCACCUGGAGCCCACGUAUCGUAAACACCACCAACGAAACAAGCUUUGGCAACAAGUAGGAAACAACCAAUACCUAAUAAAAUUAGGUGGAUUCCUAAAAUUGUUGUCAUUUUGUUCUUAUCACGCCA
Non-coding RNA from Emiliania huxleyi, 187 nucleotides. Lineage: Eukaryota; Haptophyta; Isochrysidales; Noelaerhabdaceae. The record is from Rfam.